Camelus dromedarius (Arabian camel) is the source of this 923-nucleotide long non-coding RNA. RefSeq lists it as uncharacterized. The record is from RefSeq and is a predicted model, not a curated record. Lineage: Eukaryota; Metazoa; Chordata; Mammalia; Artiodactyla; Camelidae. The transcript has 5 exons.
CACACGCCGCGUGAUGCUUUGUGGAAGGAAAGCAGGGGUAGUGGGGCGGCGGCCUCUGAAAGAAGAGGAAGCCAGGGGAUUAGAAACUCCUCCUGGUGCGGAUGGUCCAAGUUAAGCAAAGCUUAACAUGUGCAGCAGUUUAAGAAGGUGAAGCCAGAAGAACAGGCCAUUUUCUCUAGUGAUGGAGAAUAAGCAACGACAUCAGGAAGCCAUGCCACGACUGGUGAUUACAGAAUCUGCCAUUUCAAGGCGUCCAAUUAUUUCCUCUAAACUCCACUCACGAUGGACUCAAAGGCAGGCUCUUCAGUGGAGGCAGAGGGAACACUUUCACUCCACUGCACCCUUCUGGACUCCUCUGGGCUCAUUCAUUCAGAUCACUCAAGAACGGGUGAAGCCAGUUGCCAAGUCCUGAGAAUAUUUAAGAAGCCCUACAGGGAAGGCCAUGUGAUGAACAGCUCAAGUCUCUUGCCAACAGCCAUGUGAGCGUGCCAUCUUGGAAACCAACCCUUUGGCCUCAGUCAAGUCUUCAGAAGCCUGAACCCCCAAACAAUUUCUUACCUACAAACUCCUGAGAGACUCCCAAGUCAGAACCAUGCAGCUAAGCCACUUCCGGAUUCCUGACCCUCAGAAACUCAGGGUUCAGUGAGGACUUCAGAGUUGAUGGCAAUCACGACCCACGGAGCCACUACCAUGGAUAACAUAUAUGCUAUAGAUAAUGAUGUUUGUCUUUGGCCACCAAAUUAUAGCCACCUCCCUUCUCUCACAGUCUCUCUUUGCAAGCUGUGGAAAGAACCAGGCUGUAAUAUUUGUUUGCUAAAAUGUCAAGACAGAUCUUGGAGCAGACUCUCUGAAAUGACAGUGGGGGAUUUUACCACAUCUACUGAUAGAGAUACAGCUGUUCCUGUACUGGAGACAGGUGGAAU